This 301-nucleotide ribosomal RNA is filed under the name uncultured bacterium. RNAcentral's name for it is "partial 16S ribosomal RNA". It matches the Rfam family "Bacterial small subunit ribosomal RNA", at positions 509 to 808 of the family's 1533-position model. The record is from RNAcentral.
CAGCCGCCACGGUAAUACGUAGGGGGCAAGCGUUAUCCGGAAUUAUUGGGCGUAAAGAGUGCGUAGGUGGUCUACUAAGCGCGAGGUGAAAGGCAAUGGCUCAACCAUUGUUAGCCUUGCGAACUGGCAGACUUGAGUGCAAGAGAGGAAAGCGGAAUUCCUAGUGUAGCGGUGAAAUGCGCAGAUAUUAGGAGGAACACCGGCGGCGAAGGCGGCUUUCUGGAUUGUAACUGACACUGAGGCACGAAAGCGUGGGUAGCAAACAGGAUUAGAUACCCGCGUAGUCCCUGUCUCUUAUACC